ACUGAAGCUAUUCAUAUAUUAUACUUGCUAAGGACGUCAAAACGCAAAAUCCCAUCUAAUCCAUCCCUACUCCAAAUUUAAAGCUGAUGCAAAAACUAAGUUUUAGUAUUUCAAAUAUCAGUCCCUCCUUAUAUAAAUGUUGAGAACGGAACUACAUCAUGAAAGUAAAAAAAAAAAAAACAAUUGAUAAUAAAUCAUCCAACUACCUUGGAGA
This 214-nucleotide long non-coding RNA is filed under the name Linum usitatissimum (flax). Its description in RNAcentral is "long non-coding RNA (LUSI_LNC007564)". Lineage: Eukaryota; Viridiplantae; Streptophyta; Magnoliopsida; Malpighiales; Linaceae. The record is from RNAcentral.